CCUACGGGAGGCAGCAGUAGGGAAUCUUCCGCAAUGGGCGAAAGCCUGACGGAGCAACGCCGCGUGAGUGAUGAAGGUCUUCGGAUCGUAAAACUCUGUUAUUAGGGAAGAACAAAUGUGUAAGUAACUAUGCACGUCUUGACGGUACCUAAUCAGAAAGCCACGGCUAACUACGUGCCAGCAGCCGCGGUAAUA
Molecule: ribosomal RNA, 195 nt
Filed under: uncultured bacterium
Lineage: Bacteria
Description: partial 16S ribosomal RNA
Rfam family: Bacterial small subunit ribosomal RNA
Source: RNAcentral